This 474-nucleotide ribosomal RNA is filed under the name uncultured bacterium. Its description in RNAcentral is "SSU rRNA". It matches the Rfam family "Bacterial small subunit ribosomal RNA", at positions 26 to 518 of the family's 1533-position model. The record is from RNAcentral.
AGGACGAACGCUGGCGGCGUGCUUAACACAUGCAAGUCGAGCGGAAAGGCCCUUCGGGGUACUCGAGCGGCGAACGGGUGAGUAACACGUGAGCAAUCUGCCCUUAGCUUCGGGAUAGCCCCGGGAAACCGGGAUUAAUACCGAAUACGACCUCGGCCGACAUCGGCCUUGGUGGAAAGUUUUUCGGCUAGGGAUGAACUCGCGGCCUAUCAGCUUGUUGGUGGGGUAAUAGCCUACCAAGGCGACGACGGGUAGCCGGCCUGAGAGGGCGACCGGCCACACUGGGACUGAGACACGGCCCAGACUCCUACGGGAGGCAGCAGUGGGGAAUAUUGCGCAAUGGGCGAAAGCCUGACGCAGCGACGCCGCGUGGGGGAUGAAGGCCUUCGGGUUGUAAACCCCUUUCAGCAGGGACGAAGCGAGAGUGACGGUACCUGCAGAAGAAGCGCCGGCUAACUACGUGCCAGCAGCCGC